RNAcentral lists this ribosomal RNA (440 nucleotides) under uncultured bacterium. RNAcentral's name for it is "partial 16S ribosomal RNA". It matches the Rfam family "Bacterial small subunit ribosomal RNA", at positions 338 to 795 of the family's 1533-position model. The record is from RNAcentral.
CCUACGGGAGGCAGCAGUGGGGAAUAUUGCACAAUGGGGGAAACCCUGAUGCAGCGACGCCGCGUGAGUGAAGAAGUAUUUCGGUACGUAAAGCUCUAUCAGCAGGGAAGAAAAUGACGGUACCUGACUAAGAAGCCCCGGCUAACUACGUGCCAGCAGCCGCGGUAAUACGUAGGGGGCAAGCGUUAUCCGGAUUUACUGGGUGUAAAGGGAGCGUAGACGGCAGCGCAAGUCUGGAGUGAAAUCCCAUGGCUUAACCAUGGAACUGCAUUGGAAACUGUGCAGCUAGAGUGCAGGAGAGGUAAGCGGAAUUCCUAGUGUAGCGGUGAAAUGCGUAGAUAUUAGGAGGAACACCAGUGGCGAAGGCGGCUUACUGGACUGUAACUGACGUUGAGGCUCGAAAGCGUGGGGAGCAAACAGGAUUAGAUACCCCGGUAGUC